Molecule: ribosomal RNA, 258 nt
Filed under: uncultured bacterium
Lineage: Bacteria
Description: partial 16S ribosomal RNA
Rfam family: Bacterial small subunit ribosomal RNA
Source: RNAcentral
UGGCGGACGGGUGAGUGACGCGUGGGUAACCUGCCUUACACAGGGGGAUAACACCUGGAAACAGGUGCUAAUACCGCAUAAGCGCACAGGGCCGCAUGGCCCGGUGUGAAAAACUCCGGUGGUGUAAGAUGGACCCGCGUCUGAUUAGCUUGUUGGCGGGGUAGGGGCCCACCAAGGCGACGAUCAGUAGCCGGCCUGAGAGGGUGGACGGCCACAUUGGGACUGAGACACGGCCCAAACUCCUACGGAAGGCAGCAG